Molecule: ribosomal RNA, 200 nt
Filed under: uncultured Thermaceae bacterium
Lineage: Bacteria; Thermotogati; Deinococcota; Deinococci; Thermales; Thermaceae
Description: partial 16S ribosomal RNA
Rfam family: Bacterial small subunit ribosomal RNA
Source: RNAcentral
UCAUGGCCCUUACGGCCUGGGCGACACACGUGCUACAAUGCCCACUACAGAAGCGAGGCGACCUGGUGACGGGGAGCGAAUCGCAAGAAAGGUGGGCCGUAGUUCGGAUUGGGGGUCUGCAACCCGACCCCAUGAAGCCGGGAAUCGCUAGUAAUCGGCGGAUCAACCAUGCCGCGGUGAAAUACGUUCCCGGGCCUUGU